UGUAAGCGUAUACCAAAGUUGUUGCAGUUAAAACGCUCGUAGUCGGAAUUUGGCAGUUCCGGAAGUGUGCACGUCGUGUGCGCACUUUGCGGGGACUGCUUUUGUGGUCUUGCGUAGGAUGAGGCACUUUCAUUAGUGAACGUCCUCACGCAACCACUCUUUACUGUGAGAAAAUCAGAGUGCUCAAAGCAGGAAUUUGCCGUGAAUGUAUUAGCAUGGAAUAAUAGAAUAGGACUCGGUUCUAUUUUGUUGGUUUGUUGGGACUGAGUAAUGAUUAAGAGGGACAGUUGGGGGCAUUUGUAUUCCGGCGCUAGAGGUGAAAUUCUUAGAUUGCCGGAAGACAAACUGCUGCGAAAGCGUCUGCCAAGGAUGUUUUCAUUGA
This 382-nucleotide ribosomal RNA is filed under the name uncultured eukaryote. RNAcentral's name for it is "partial 18S ribosomal RNA". It matches the Rfam family "Eukaryotic small subunit ribosomal RNA", at positions 592 to 976 of the family's 1831-position model. The record is from RNAcentral.